Molecule: ribosomal RNA, 480 nt
Filed under: uncultured bacterium
Lineage: Bacteria
Description: partial 16S ribosomal RNA
Rfam family: Bacterial small subunit ribosomal RNA
Source: RNAcentral
GACGAACGCUGGCGGCGUGCUUAACACAUGCAAGUCGAGCGGAAAGGCCCUUUCGGGGGUACUCGAGCGGCGAACGGGUGAGUAACACGUGAGUAAUCUGCCCCUGGCUUUGGGAUAGCCACCGGAAACGGUGAUUAAUACCGGAUACGACCACUUCUCGCAUGGGAUGGUGGUGGAAAGUUUUUCGGCCAGGGAUGUGCUCGCGGCCUAUCAGCUUGAUGGUGAGGUAAUGGCUCACCAUGGCUUCGACGGGUAGCCGGCCUGAGAGGGUGAACGGUCACACUGGGACUGAGACACGGCCCAGACUCCUACGGGAGGCAGCAGUGGGGAAUAUUGGACAAUGGGCGGAAGCCUGAUCCAGCAACGCCGCGUGAGGGAUGACGGCCUUCGGGUUGUAAACCUCUUUCAGCAGGGACGGAGCGCAAGUGACGGUACCUGCAGAAGAAGCACCGGCCAACUACGUGCCAGCAGCCGCCGUAA